RNAcentral lists this long non-coding RNA (799 nucleotides) under Helianthus annuus (common sunflower). Lineage: Eukaryota; Viridiplantae; Streptophyta; Magnoliopsida; Asterales; Asteraceae. The record is from RNAcentral.
AUGAAUACCCCAAAAUAUUGAAGACAACACAAUCUUUCAACGAAUACCUUUCUAAUAUCCGAUUCCACAAUUGAUCGCAGACUGAAACCCUAAAUGUCGUCCACAUGAAUACCCCAAAAUAUUGAAGGCAACACAAUCUUCCAAGGAGUACCUUUCUAAUAUCUGAUCCCACAAUUGAUCGCAGCAUUCCAGGUUUUGAUAGCUCCAAACGAUUCAAGGUUGCUCGAAUGAGAUUGACUAUUUAAUUCCUUUUAUGUUCCCAUGGCUUACAUCUGGCAUUUAUGUGAAUUAAAUUCACAAGAAUCACAUUCAACAUGGAUGACAUGAUCGCUGAGUUUUCGGGUCGGCGGAGACGGUCCAAGUGUCAGAACAACGGGCUUUUCGAGCAAUAUGUUUGGCGAUAAUGUGGGUAGAUUUGAUAAUAUCUUCAGCUCUUUUGGUGGUGGCAGUGGUAGAUCGUAUGGCAGCGGUGGUGGAGUUAGGUCGGGUACUCGAAAGCUGCCCGAUCUCGAGAGAAAUCUACCAUACCAUGAUAAAGCACCAUUUAACCACUCUGUUGUUGUCCGAAUAUUUUUUGGUUGUUUGCACAUAAAGGCAGCCAUAAUCAAAGAAGUUAACCCACUUAUUCUUGUAUUAGUGUUGUGUGUUUUCCUCUAAUUCGAUGGUGAUGAAUGAUGUUUGUCAAACUGCACUUUAUGUGGCAAGAGACGAUGGAUAUAGUAAUGUUGUCCAUGCAAUUGAGGUACACAUGUAGUUUAUUUCACACAUGACUUUGAUGGAUACAUUUUUUUCUCAUUUU